CUGUAUCCACUGAUGGACCUUGACCAAUUUGUUGUACUUUUGGUUUGCACUAAGAUGUGAAAAGAAAUAUCCCUGUGCUCUCUGAGUUUGUGGCAGCCCAGGUUGAAUAUGGGAAUACAUCU
Small nucleolar RNA from Fukomys damarensis (Damara mole-rat), 122 nucleotides. The record is from Ensembl. Lineage: Eukaryota; Metazoa; Chordata; Mammalia; Rodentia; Bathyergidae.